This 468-nucleotide ribosomal RNA is filed under the name uncultured bacterium. RNAcentral's name for it is "partial 16S ribosomal RNA". It matches the Rfam family "Bacterial small subunit ribosomal RNA", at positions 28 to 507 of the family's 1533-position model. The record is from RNAcentral.
GACGAACGCUGGCGGCGUGCUUAACACAUGCAAGUCGAACGGAAAGGCCCUGCUUUUGUGGGGUGCUCGAGUGGCGAACGGGUGAGUAACACGUGAGUAACCUGCCCUUGACUUUGGGAUAACUUCAGGAAACUGGGGCUAAUACCGGAUAGGAGCUCCUGCUGCAUGGUGGGGGUUGGAAAGUUUCGGCGGUUGGGGAUGGACUCGCGGCUUAUCAGCUUGUUGGUGGGGUAGUGGCUUACCAAGGCUUUGACGGGUAGCCGGCCUGAGAGGGUGACCGGCGAGGGGGGGGCUGCGGUGAGGCCCGGAGGGGUACGGUGGGCAGGAGGGGGGGGGAGGGGCCAGGGGGCGGACGUCUGACGCCGCGACGUCGGGUGCGGGAGGAAGGGCUUCGGGUUGGAAAAAGAGUGCGCCUGUGACGAAGAGUGAGGGAGGGUAAUGGGUAAAGGAGGUCCGGCUAGUUACGUG